AUUGAACGCUGGCGGCAGGCCUAACACAUGCAAGUCGAGCGAGCGGCGGACGGGUGAGUAAUGUAUGGGGACUGCCCGAUAGAGGGGGAUAACUACUGGAAACGGUAGCUAAUACCGCAUACUAUCGGAUAACCCAUAUGGGAUUAGCUAGUAGGUGAGGUAAUGGCUCACCUAGGCAACGAUCCGUAGCUGGUUUGAGAGGACGACCAGCCACACUGGAACUGAGACACGGCCCAGCCUCCUACGGAGGCAGCAGUGGGGAAUUUUGGACAAUGGGGGAAACCCUGAUCCAGCCAUCCCGCGUGUAUGAUGAAGGCCUUCGGGUUGUAAAGUACUUUUGGCAGAGAAGCGGUACCUGCAGAAUAAGCACCGGCUAACUACGUGCCAGCAGCCGCGGUAAUAC
RNAcentral lists this ribosomal RNA (403 nucleotides) under uncultured bacterium. RNAcentral describes it as "partial 16S ribosomal RNA". It matches the Rfam family "Bacterial small subunit ribosomal RNA", at positions 30 to 526 of the family's 1533-position model. The record is from RNAcentral.